This 2432-nucleotide long non-coding RNA is filed under the name Sus scrofa (pig). Its description in RNAcentral is "lncRNA (ENSSSCG00005037752.1)". Lineage: Eukaryota; Metazoa; Chordata; Mammalia; Artiodactyla; Suidae. The record is from RNAcentral.
AGAGCUGCCUCCUGGCUCGUCGGAGACUUCUGCCUCUAGAACUGGGUGUGCAUCCUGGUGACCUCCAGAGGUGACUUUCUGCCUGCGGUCCUGUCUCCGGGCCCCGGGACUAGGAGGGUUUCGGGGGAUGGAACUAGGACUCUCCAUGCAGCGAAGGUCCACCGGCUGCUGGAGGAGACGCAGCAGCAAUAGGUUUUUCCUUUGGGAAAAGCUUUGGGGUUGGGCUGCUCCUCAUGGAGCCAGGGGUAUGGAAAGGGUAACCUCAGAACGCCUCUAAGGACCUAUGAUGUGUGCCAGGGACCUAGCAGUCGGGGUCCAGGUCAGAGUGCCUCUGGCCCCCACUCCUCCAGGGCCGUGGCCUCAUGCAGUCGCUCUGGGGGUGGGUCCCCGAGACACGUCUUGGGUUGGUCCAGACGCAGCCUCUCUCCCCACCUCGGGCCACCUGCCACGUCCUCUGGAAGCCUGGUCUGAUUGGGCAAGAAACAGGGAAGAGAAAAUUGCACCACUUUCACUGCCAAAGCAGGAGAGGAAAUGCCUGUCUAUCAGGAUGUCCCUGAAAAUGAGAGCUUGCCAAGGGCUAGGGCCACCCGUGGUGCUGCCCCUGGCCCGGCCCCCCGAUGAGCUCCUUGUGUAGCUGUGUGUGGUGGAGCCAAGACUCAGACCAGGGGGCUGGGGCAGGAGGCAGCCAGCCACGUGCUGGGGGCUCUCCUGGGAGGUGCUUCUGCCAUGAAGACAGGCAGGAGGGCUCGUCUCGGGCUUGUCCCCGCCUCGAGGUGCCUGAUCCCUUGCUCGGAAUCUCAGCGUUGUUUCCCUGGGUGAGAUUAAGCACAUGGCCCAUAGUCACGAGACCUGCGUUUUGUACUUUUCCAUGAAAAGGGAAGUGGCCGGGUCCCAAACCCUGGAGCCCACUGGGCGGGGCAGGAAGCUGGGAAAUCUUCCCCAACCUCAGCCAGUCCCCCAAUGAUGCAGGCAGGGUAGAGGGGGCGCUCACCCACCAAUGGUGAUGGCUGGCACGGGGCACCCACAAGGGCCCAAAUGCCCCAGGGCCCCGCCUCUUGCACCCUCACCUCUCCUUAGGAUACAGAACCCCACAGUGGGGGGGGACAUCCUAGUCACGUGGCAGAGGUCGUCCCCUCUCCUUCAGCUGACAGACCCUCAGGCUGGCCUCAGAGUCACUGCAUCCCCCUGAAAAGCCCCCUCUCAGUCUUCCCCACAUGGAGCUCCUCAGUUCCGGCCCAGGCAUGGUUCAGGGACAGAGUGCCCCCGGAAGCUCCCUGGUCUGGUCCUCCCCAGGUCACCCUGUGCCCUCCCCGACCCUUUCGAGCCCCCAGUGUGGAAGCCAUUGACGGUCCCCACUGGUCCCUUGCAGGACAAGUCAGGGGUCCCCCCCCGCCACAGCUCUGAGCUCCAAGCGGGCUCAGAGGAAACCGAGACCUGUGUGGUGGCCUGGAGAGGCCACGGGGAAAGAGAUCCGAGCCACAUCUGCAACCUACACCACAGCUCACGGCAAUGCCAGAUCCUUAACCCACUGAGCGAGGCCAGGGAUCGAACCCACAACCUCAUGGUUCCUAGUUGGAUUUGUUUCCACUGCGCCAGGAUGGGAACUCCAGGUCUCUGUUCUGAUGUCUCUUGACGCUGUACUUCUGGGCCAGAUCCCAGGAUGGAGGUUCAGACCCUAGAAUCCAACUGUUUAUGAAUGUCUCAGCUUUUGAGCCCCAAAGCACCCCAAAACUCCUCCUCUCUGCCCACUGUCUCGCCUACCCAUCUGGGUGGAUGGGUCCCCCAAGUCCAUGGCUCAAAUCAGAAGCCCUGGUGAGAAGGGGGUGGGAGGCAGCCUGGACCCCUCUACCCCUCCCAGGGGAUUUGGGGGGAAGCUGUGAGCUCAGUCUCCUUUUCACAAGACAGCUUUACCCGCAUCUACAGGCAGGAGAGUCCAUAGCUACACACCCACUUCUCCCAGCCUCCCCUGCUCCUCUGGGCCAGGCUGUCACCUCUCCCUGCAACUGCCUUCUCACUGGCCUGCCCGCCCAGGACAGCCUUCCUGCUGCGCGUUGGGACUUGCCAGCAAACAGGUCCACCCACUCAAUCCCUUUCCUGAGAGGCGCUGGUGGCUCCUUGGUCCUGGGAGCCUAGAAAGCGCUUUCUCCUUUUUCCUGGUAAAUCCUUACCCUGCAGAGGCCCCAGCUCAGAUCUUUAAUUCAGCUGGGUUUUAUUUUGGAAGAUGAUAUGAACUUUUCCCCUAAAACCAAUAUCUGUUUUUGUUUUUGUUUUGCCGAAAGGUGCAGGGGUAUGAUAUGGGAUCUUGGUUCCCAGCCCAGGGACUGAACCUGGGCUGCAGCAGUGAAAGCGCCCUGUCCUAACCACUACACCACCAGGGAGCUACCCGAAUUACCCGGAAUUACUUCUGUAAUCAGGAAAAAAGCAAAAGUUGU